AAGAGGAACAGUCUGUUUUGAUUAACAACUGGUUUAAUGUUUCUUGGACCAGAGGCAUUUCUCUGUAGUAAACAUUGCUGCAUUUAUAAUUCAUAACCACAGGGAGUGCCAAGUCCCACAACGAGGACAAAGGCAACAGAGGAAUGAAGUCUGGUGUGGUCUCUUGGCGGAUGGAUGCUCUCCUGGGAUGCCUACAGCUGCCCAGCCAACCUCAGAGGUGUCAGGGUGUGCUCUGCUGACCACAAGUGCCACUACAAGGAAUUGCCACUGGCUGGAUGUGCAGGAUCCGACCAGAAUGAAGGAAGGACCUGCGGAGGAGUUGCCUGGGGAGUUUGUCCCGAUGUGAAGAUAAACUAUCAACACUGCUGUCAGAAGGGAUGCUCUGCUCUGAGCAGCCCACCAGAGGUGAUCUGUAUCUGAAGAUUUAUGGCCACCAAGCCACGUAUUCUAUGUGUGUUGCCUCCUUUGAGUCAGGGAGGACAAUUACAAUAUGCUUCUGACACCAUCCAUCCUCAUCUUGUUCAU
Long non-coding RNA from Gallus gallus (chicken), 525 nucleotides. The record is from Ensembl. NCBI's taxonomy places the organism in Eukaryota, Metazoa, Chordata, Aves, Galliformes, Phasianidae.